Long non-coding RNA from Fopius arisanus, 438 nucleotides. RefSeq lists it as uncharacterized. The record is from RefSeq and is a predicted model, not a curated record. NCBI's taxonomy places the organism in Eukaryota, Metazoa, Arthropoda, Insecta, Hymenoptera, Braconidae. The transcript has 3 exons.
CAGUUCUCUGACUCAAUUAGGAAUUUAUUGUUUCGGUGGAAAUAUUAUAAUUAUUGAAAGUCACCUGACUAGCUUGGCAGCUUAUGACUCCCGUUGGUACCUGGAAAACGCGGAAUUCAAAUCGACUCUCAAAAUUUUUUUAUCAAUGGUCAAGCGCCCACUAUCGGUCAAAGCUGUGGACGUCCUCGAGCUCUCAUUCGUGACCCUCAAAAAUGUGCUGGCGAAAUCGUUCUCGGCGAUGGCACUCCUGCAGAAAGUUGCGGAAUAAAAUUGUGGUAAUGAAGUUAUGGCCCCGGGGAUUCCCCUGAUUAUCUGGGGGGGUCCACUGUACUUCAAUUUGGCACUUAGUUGUUAUCCCGUCGGAUCAUAUCGCAAUACUAAAAUGCGGUCUUCUACUCUGCGGUCUAGAGACUCCCGUCGUUGUUACUUUCUCAUGUG